UACGUAAGGUGCAAGCGUUGUCCGGAAUUAUUGGGCGUAAAGAGCUCGUAGGCGGCUUGUCACGUCGACUGUGAAAACCCGGGGCUCAACUCCGGGCCUGCAGUCGAUACGGGCUGGCUUGAGUGCGGUAGGGGAGACUGGAAUUCCUGGUGUAGCGGUGAAAUGCGUAGAUAUCUGGAGGAACACCGGUGGCGAAGGCGACAUCCUGGACCGGUAUUGACGCUGAGGCGCGAAAGCCAGGGGAGCAAACGGG
RNAcentral lists this ribosomal RNA (253 nucleotides) under uncultured bacterium. Its description in RNAcentral is "partial 16S ribosomal RNA". It matches the Rfam family "Bacterial small subunit ribosomal RNA", at positions 524 to 776 of the family's 1533-position model. The record is from RNAcentral.